Octodon degus (degu) is the source of this 612-nucleotide long non-coding RNA. RefSeq lists it as uncharacterized. Lineage: Eukaryota; Metazoa; Chordata; Mammalia; Rodentia; Octodontidae. The record is from RefSeq and is a predicted model, not a curated record. The transcript has 3 exons.
CGGAGUCCGCGCUGGACCGAGCACGCCCCCGCCGCCCGCACGCCGGCUAGAAGAGGAGAAGAGGGGAAGGCUUUGUUCAUCUCUGCCUGAGCUUAGGGCAGGUUUGAAGGCUCUUGGGAUCAAGCAGCUCCUCAGAGGAGCACCGAGUCACACACCAACUUUCUUCUGUGUGAUACAGCUGUCAAGCCUCAAGGCCGAGAAUCACUUGGUCUGCCAAGCGCAGGUGGCACUGGGGUCCAAUCUCGCUGAGCCUCUUCUGACUUCUCAUGGUAUCUGCAGCACUUUCCUGGCUAGAAUGUAGUCUCCAGGAGCACAGGACUUCCGCCGCCGCAGUCAUGUUCGUGUUUCCAGUGCCCAGUGCUGGGCCCCCGGUGAGUGCAUUCAUGUAAGUCAGAAACAAGCUAGGAUGUGUUGACAGCCAGGAGGCCAUGGUGGUCUUGCUACAGGAGCAAUGGCACCCCUUUAUUUCCUGUCAUGGGGCAUUUGUGGAAAUUUCACAGCCCACCGUCAACUCCAGAGCCAUGCUCCAGGCAGAAGACCAUGGUUGAAGGAGGCAGACCCAGAUAUCCACAGUGAUUCUCUCUCAAGAAUGGGAUUAUGCUGGCAAGUGCA